This 497-nucleotide ribosomal RNA is filed under the name uncultured bacterium. Its description in RNAcentral is "partial 16S ribosomal RNA". It matches the Rfam family "Bacterial small subunit ribosomal RNA", at positions 28 to 507 of the family's 1533-position model. The record is from RNAcentral.
GAUGAACGCUGGCGGCGUGCCUAAUACAUGCAAGUCGAGCGAACAGAUGAGGAGCUUGCUCCUCUGACGUUAGCGGCGGACGGGUGAGUAACACGUGGAUAACCUACCUAUAAGACUGGGAUAACUUCGGGAAACCGGAGCUAAUACCGGAUAAUAUAUUGAACCGCAUGGUUCAAUAGUGAAAGACGGUUUUGCUGUCACUUAUAGAUGGAUCCGCGCCGCAUUAGCUAGUUGGUAAGGUAACGGCUUACCAAGGCAACGAUGCGUAGCCGACCUGAGAGGAUGAUCGGCCACACUGGAACUGAGACACGGUCCAGACUCCUACGGGAGGCAGCAGUAGGGAAUCUUGCGCAAUGGGCGAAAGCCUGACGGAGCAACGCCGCGUGAGUGAUGAAGGUCUUCGGAUCGUAAAACUCUGUUAUUAGGGAAGAAAAAAUGUGUAAGUAACUAUGCACGUCUUGACGGUACCUAAUCAGAAAGCCACGGCUAACUACGUG